UGGCAAGGAAAGGUGUGAGUGUGCGCAAGUGUGUGUGCCUGCGGGUGGACGCGAGGGGGGCGGGUUUCUGGAAAGGGCGUGGAAGUGGGGGAGCCCCGGGUCCUCGUGACUCGGCUCAUCCAGGACCGCCCCCGCCCCCCAGCUUCGGGUCGGGCGGGUUCGUGGGGUACAGGGACCCAGCGGCCGGGCGGAGUUAACCCUUAGUUCCCACACAGGUUUAGGGAUGGGGAGCUGGGGUGCGGGGGACGACGACCGGGGACCGCCGGAGCCGCUCCCGGAAGGCAAGUGUGAGUUUGUUUCGGGUUGAGGGGGAUAUUUAAGUGGGAUUUGCAGUGGCGGCGGGAGACGGGGCUGGAAACGACCACCGGAGGCAUCCACUGGGCGCCGGGUUAGGGGUCCUGACCGCCGCCGCCUGUCCCCGUUGUGGAGCCGCUCCGCCCCCUCGCGGCGGGCAGGGGUCACUGACCCCUUCGCGACACCCGCCCGCCGACUGUGCGUGGGCUGAAGGUGAGUAUGCGGACGGUAGUGCCUUGGAGGAGCCUGCGUGGGACGAGUGGUGGUACUGAGUGAUCUGACCGAGGACCGCAGCGCAGAGAUGGAUAAACUGCUAAGAGGCCCAGUUGAUGAGUUUGGACAUACAUACUACAUCUGUGAAGCAUCACCACCACAUCAAGGAAGGAGUGGGGAAUAAAGCCACAGAUUCAAGAAGUUCAACAAAUCUCAAGAUUAAGAACGUCUACAUUUGGGGGUGCCUGGGUGGCUCAGAGGUUGAGCAUCUGCCUUCAGCUCAAGGUAUGAUCCCAGAUUCAGAGAUUGAGUCCCGCAUCCAACUCCCUGUAAGGAGCCUGCCUUUCCCUCUGCCUGUCUCUCUAUCUUUGUGUCUCUCAUAAAUAAAUAAAUAAAAUAUCUUUUAAAAAGGACGUCCACAUUUGAACCCACCAGGGUGAAAUAGCAGGAAAUUAAAUCAAAGGCAAAAUCUUUAACAUAGGGAUGCGUGGGUGGCUCAGCCUCUGCCUUUGACUCAGGUCAUGACCCUGGGGUCCUGGAAUUGAGUCCCACAUCCGACUCCUGUUCCGUCUCUGCCUCUCUCUCUCUCUCUCUCUCUCUCAUGAAUAAAUAAAAAAUAAAAUCUUUAAAAAAUAUUUAAAAUAGAAAAAAAGAUGACUGAUUACCUUCAAAGGA
Long non-coding RNA from Canis lupus familiaris (dog), 1182 nucleotides. RefSeq lists it as uncharacterized. The transcript is spliced from 3 exons. Lineage: Eukaryota; Metazoa; Chordata; Mammalia; Carnivora; Canidae. The record is from RefSeq and is a predicted model, not a curated record.